This 285-nucleotide long non-coding RNA is filed under the name Citrus sinensis (sweet orange). Its description in RNAcentral is "long non-coding RNA (CSIN_LNC000576)". Lineage: Eukaryota; Viridiplantae; Streptophyta; Magnoliopsida; Sapindales; Rutaceae. The record is from RNAcentral.
CGCCACCACCGAUGGCCGCUCACCAGUACCAAUACCAACAACAGGCGCCGCCUCAGCAGCAGCCGCCACCGCAACCCUCGCCGUACAUGAUGAUGAUGCCGCCUCAGCCCCAGGCCCAGCCUCCUGCCAUGUGGGCCACGCAGGCUGCUGCUCCUCAGGCGGCGGGAGUUGCGGUACCACCUCAGCAGCAGGGUCAGCCCGGUGAGAUCCGGACCCUGUGGAUCGGGGACUUGCAGUAUUGGAUGGAUGAGACCUAUCUCAACACUUGUUUUGCACACACCGGCG